UACAGAGGUCCCGAGCGUUGUUCGGAUUCACUGGGCGUAAAGGGUGCGUAGGUGGUGAGGUAAGUCGGAUGUGAAAUCUCCGAGCUCAACUCGGAAAUGGCAUUGGAAACUACCUUGCUUGAGGGUUGGAGGGGGGACUGGAAUACUUGGUGUAGCAGUGAAAUGCGUAGAUAUCAAGUGGAACACCAGUGGCGAAGGCGAGUCCCUGGACAACUCCUGACACUGAGGCACGAAGGCCAGGGGAGCAAACGGG
This 253-nucleotide ribosomal RNA is filed under the name uncultured bacterium. RNAcentral's name for it is "partial 16S ribosomal RNA". It matches the Rfam family "Bacterial small subunit ribosomal RNA", at positions 524 to 776 of the family's 1533-position model. The record is from RNAcentral.